Molecule: long non-coding RNA, 1194 nt
Filed under: Equus caballus (horse)
Lineage: Eukaryota; Metazoa; Chordata; Mammalia; Perissodactyla; Equidae
Description: lncRNA (ENSECAG00000035994.3)
Source: RNAcentral
GAGCUUUGACAAUAAGGGCUGGACAGUGGCCCUGCUGUGAGAAGAGAGAAAAGGAACGGGGCUGAGGGAAGGACGAGAGACAAGAUCCAGAGGGUGCUGCUCCCUUGGGAAUAGAGAAGGCGAGGGAAGGAUAUUGUCUUGGUGCCUGUGAAUUCCAGAUCUGAAGGCGAUGCUAUUGGAUCUGGGUCUUUCCUCAUCAGCCCACUCCUGGAAAUGGUGGGCAGCUGGAGCCAAGAUGACAAAGGGGAAGAUUAGAGGCAACUGAGACCUAAGUCCUGGACCUGGAAGGUGAAAAGGCAAGAGGAUGAUAUCCUACGAGGGUCUCAUGAUCACCUUCUAAAGGAAAGGAUGUUUUAACACGCAAGCGUGGGAAGGACUUUGUGGGUGAUAGCCACGCAUUCAACAAAAGCCACCGCUGGACUCCAGUUCCCAGCCUUGCAGUUGGAUGGACCGUGGGGAUGUGGCGGAAGUGAGGCUCACCUCUUGCUGUCCUGGCCCACAAAAGCCUCCCACAAUCCUCCUCUCUUUUGUUCCCCAGCCUUGCGGUCUCCUUCUAGCACCUCCAACUGGCAGAACUUUCAGGAAACAGUUGUCAAAGCUGAAUGUGGUUUGCAGAAUUCCAGUUCCAGCCCCAUAAAGCUGGAUGUAAAAAGCUUCCCGUGCCCGGCCCCUUUGAAUGGAACUCCCUUCUUGCUGCAAUGGUGGGGCUGGCGGUGCAGGGGGACAGCCAGACUCCUGAGCCCAGAGCAGAGCAGCCACGACCUGCUCUUCAUUCCCAAGGCAUUUGACAGAGCACGAGCUGAGGCUGCAUCCUGUUUGGUGGCUUUACUGCCCAUAGACCCUGGGAUUUUGGCCUCCCCACACAGCUGGCUUGACCUUGCUCACAGCAUGGCAGUGUCGGAACAGCCAGACUCAGGACAUGGCAGCUGGUUUCCCCUAGAGGACCAUUCGAGGAGAGGAUGCUGCUACUUCUUUAAAGCCUUGGGCGCACCGGAAAAGAGGAAAUUGGAGAAGGCUUUGGAGAAGGACGUGGAAAAAGCCCUGCGUGUGUGAAGCUCUUUUCUCCGUGCCCGGAGGAAAUGCGAAAGGGGACCGUGUGAACAUCUGUGGGAGCUACUGAGAGGCUCAGGAUUAGCGUCAAUGCCUGUUAUGACAUUCUGCCUUUCAGCUCAAUAAAAUGAUUUUUUGUGAGGC